RNAcentral lists this ribosomal RNA (232 nucleotides) under bacterium. RNAcentral describes it as "partial 16S ribosomal RNA". It matches the Rfam family "Bacterial small subunit ribosomal RNA", at positions 168 to 399 of the family's 1533-position model. The record is from RNAcentral.
ACCGCAUACGAUCCUACGGGAGAAAGCAGGGGUACCUUCGGGCCUUGCGCUAUCAGAUGAGCCUAGGUCGGAUUAGCUAGUUGGUGAGGUAAUGGCUCACCAAGGCGACGAGCCGGAACUGGUCUGAGAGGAUGAUCAGUCCCACUGGAACUGAGACACGGUCCAGACUCCUACGGGAGGCAGCAGUGGGGAAUAUUGGACAAUGGGCGAAAGCCUGAUCCAGUCCAUGCCG